CCCGCGGAGGGCGACGCGCCAGCUGCUGACGCCCCACUUCCGGCUCCAGGGUCAGUGGGCGGGCCCGGAGAGCGCUUCCGGCCGAAGGGGUUGGGUGGGCCACGCCUGGUCUGCGCAGAGGGUGAAGUCAGGGCGGCUGGCUAAGGCUCCUGAGUGCUGACAGAAAGCUUCGAGGAUCCCUGUGGACCUGUGGCUCAAGUGGAGCCGGCGGAAAACCCUGAGGAGCUUGGGACAGCCACGGCGUAGGUGGAGCCGGCGUCGCUGACUCGGAGCGUGGGCGAGUUUCCUCUUAGCCGGUGCCUCAGGGAUUGACGCCAAGACUCCCCCGCUUUUUUCAGUUGUCUUGGGUGUGAAUGAAUCCCAGGCUAAACCUUAGCCUCCCAGCCUGCCCAAACAGAACUUGUUUUAACACAUGACUCUCGUAUCACCACCUUUACUCCGUUCUACUGUGUUUGUCAAAGUGUAGUCUCUGAACAUCUGCUUAAAAUCCACCUGAGACGGUGGUUGAAAAUCCAAAUCGCAGGGCCUUAGUGCAAGACGCCUCUUGAAGCACUAGGUUAUUUUUUUUCUUUUAGAGUUAGAAAAUAAGCAGUGUACAACAAAGAAAGGAACCUGAAAAGGAGCUUAGCUCUGCAGGAAUUUAAAUUCUGAGUCUUUGCUACAAUCUUGAUCUGUACUGCCAGAACUAACACGGACAUCAGUGAGACAGCACCCUAAAUGUUCUGUUUGUUGAUCCCGAAGACUUAGAGAGUAGAGAAAUAGCAAUCUUGAUAGCUUGGGAGCAUUGGGUCCAACAGAUUUACUCCUUUAUUAAGCACGAACUAAUCUGUUUUGGAAGCAAACAUGCUAUUUAUCAACACUGCAGAUGUUCUGUGCAGGAAAUGUAGCAGCAGGAGCUGUGAGCUGGCUGUUUCCUUAAUGCUGAAUGGGUGUGGACGAAGGAAAGCGGGAGUCUGACGGAAAGCCGUCUGGUCAGCAGCCCGAGAAGUUGAAGUAAAGAGCCAUGUCUUGGGGACUGCCGUCAGUAGAAGAAUCCAACGGAAGGGGGAUGUGUACGGAAGCCCCAUGUGUAUGGAUGGGGCUGGAGUGAUUCAGGCCUCAACAGCAGUCCUUUCAACCUCACUGGAAUGUGGAGGCUGUAUAGAUCAAAAGCUCUAAAGAUUACAAGAUAACUUUGCUAAAAGGAGCCAUACCAUCUCUGAUAGCUGACCACUAGGUUGUUCUCCAGCGUAUCAAAGCUACAUUACAUUGCUUGAAGUUGUGCUUCAAUUAAUGUAAAAAACUUCAUGAACCACAUAUAGUCACUGAAGUAACCUGCUGUCUUCAUUCUCUAUCAUCCUCUGCCAAAGUAGUUAUUUUGCAGUGACAGAACUUCUCUGCUGCCCUGAACUUCUCUGCUGUCCUUUGAACUUUGAUGUUAGUAAUUCUUUCUUCCCAUCAAAUGUUGGCUCUAAAUCCACAGAACUAUUUGAGAAACCAGAUACAAAAUUAUGAGAGAUACAUACAAGGAAGGGACAACUGCCCUGGAUGUUGACAUGUCCAAAUAUAAUGACUAAACCGGCUGCAGCCAUCUUGCAACCAGGGAGGAGCCAGCUUGAAAACAAAACCAGAACAAUGAGAUGACACAGCAAGAAGUGGAAAGAACCUGGGUCCUUGAUGAUGCUAUUGAGCUGAUGGAUUAAACCUGGAGUGUAUCUACUAUGGGCUUCCUAGAAGAGUCUGGCUUUGUUUACCCAGGCUGGAUUGCAGUGGCUGCUCACAGUGAGAUCAUCACACACUACAACCUCAAACUCCUGGCCUCCAAUGAUCUUCCUGACUCAGCCUCACAAGUAGCUGGCAUUACAGAUAUGUUCUGGGAUAUGAGCAAAGUUGGAAGUCACUUCGGAGGAAGAUGGGCAUUCCAGGUCUCUCCCAUAAGUCUCAAGGACAUGGCCAAGGACCACAUCUAUCUUCUACACUGAAGACCCACUGCCUAAUACAGUGCCUGCUACAUGUUGAAUUGUCAAUAAAUAUUUGUUGAAACAAUUGAUUAAUAAAUAUUGUUACAGUCCUCCAUUUUAUAUUAAUAGAUGAGGAAGCUGUGGUUAAAAUGUGACUAAUGUCAUAGAAAUAGUAGGAAAGCCAAGCUUCCAAGGGUCAUUCCAGGGCCCUUGUCAGGAUGUUAAAUCCUGUGUCAGUGCUACCGUAUCAACAAACUGUCCCUUUCCCAACUUCCUAUUCCUAUUUGGGAUCUACUUCCACCAUAUUCUUUGGGUUCCUGCUGGUGUAAGUCAGCCAGAUCUUGCAGCUCCUUUGCCGUUUAGACCUCUCCUCCCUUUUCAGACACUGCACUUACCCAGCUGGGCCAUACUGAAACUUGAUCCUGGUACUGCCUGGUUUCCAGGACAGAAGUGGGGGCAGAUUUCCAGCACAGCCAGCAUUGUUUUUUAAGACACCUGACUUAAUUGAAGGUUCAUGCAAGGAGAGGGUCUUCUAUCUUCCGACAAGGGAGUGGGCCACCCCUGUAGGCUAAGAUGCUCAGGAGAAGCCAGAAGAUCCAUAUGCUUAGCCACCUGUGUCUAACAGGUAUCCCCAUCCUGAAUCUCCCCAUCCUACUCCUUUCCUGUCAGGACCCUGACUCUGUUGAAGGGAACUUGCCCAGGCUAAGAAUUCACUUCUCCGAAUCAGCCAACACCUGAUUGAUAUGGAGGCACAAAACUGUGGUACUACUUAUGCUUAAUUAAGAUGUGUGCCUGGUCUUCACUUCAGUCUGCCCUCUCGCUGCCAGUGAUGAGGGACAGGGGCUUUUUAAAGGCUUCCAAGGAGGCCCUUUGACUCCCACACUUGGGUUUCAACUGGUCUUAAUUGAUCUGAUCCUGUCAUCUAUACUUCUCAGUGCAUCCGGAUGCUUGGGAAUAGCCUCCCCACUCAAUAAUCUUUCAAGUUAUUCUUUCUCCUGUACUCUUAAAUACUAGAAACAUCUACUUAUAUUCUGUCCUGGUUCACCAGAAGUGGAAAUAUUAGCAAUUGCAUUAUAGCUGCAUGCCAGAGACUAUCUUCUAUCAAGAGAUUCUGACGGAUCUGCUGGGAUCGUUUUUUUGGAAGCAGAUUCUGAAGGAGAGGUGAAAAAAAGAAGGCAUGCCCUGGAGGUUUGGAGGAAGAACUGCAAGCCAGCGUCCUCAGCAAGACCUGUACCAGCCCCAAAUCACCACCCUUUGCUCCAGUGGGUAGGAAGUUACUUAAGGUGUGGGAGCAGCAUGAGUGACUACAGAUGGGAGGUUAUUAUCACCAUCUCUAUUUCCUGGUAUCCCCCAGCGUUCUGAGAAGGAUAUAGUAGCUGCUGUCUCUCAACCAAAGAAACUGAUGAGGGUAGUAGGAGUUUGCUUUGGGGAAAAGUCUGAACACUGGGACUCAACAGAUGUGGAAGGUAGAGAUCCGAGGGUACAGUCAAAAUCUUCACAGCCUUGAAUAGUAUGGACAAGGAGAAAAAUUCCACUCCCCAAAUCAUAGAAUAACAUGAUGAACGGGUAUUUCUAGAAGGUUGCAAAAAAAUUUUGAGUAAAUAAAGUGAAAGCAGUAACUUUAAGAAACUCCCUACUAGGCCGGGCGUGGUAGCUCACGCUUGUAAUCCUAGCACUCUGGGAGGCCAAGG
Molecule: long non-coding RNA, 3631 nt
Organism: Microcebus murinus (gray mouse lemur)
Lineage: Eukaryota; Metazoa; Chordata; Mammalia; Primates; Cheirogaleidae
Source: RefSeq, a predicted model, not a curated record